GGAACUAGUUGUGGGGACCAUUCCACGGUUUCCGUGACGCAGCUAACGCAUUAAGUUCCCCGCCUGGGGAGUACGGCCGCAAGGUUAAAACUCAAAUGAAUUGACGGGGACCCGCACAAGCGGCGGAGCAUGCGGAUUAAUUCGAUGCAGCGCGAAGAACCUUACCAAGGCUUGACAUAUACGAGAACGGGCCAGAAAUGGUCAACUCUUUGGACACUCGUAAACAGGUGGUGCAUGGUUGUCGUCAGCUCGUGUCGUGAGAUGUUGGGUUAAGUCCCGCAACGAGCGCAACCCUCGUUCUAUGUUGCCAGCACGUAAUGGUGGGAACUCAUGGGAUACUGCCGGGGUCAACUCGGAGGAAGGUGGGGAUGACGUCAAAUCAUCAUGCCCCUUAUGUCUUGGGCUUCACGCAUGCUACAAUGGCCGGUACAAAGGGCUGCAAUACCGUGAGGUGGAGCGAAUCCCAAAAAGCCGGUCCCAGUUCGGAUUGAGGUCUGCAACUCAACCUCAUGAAGUCGGAGUCGCUAGUAAUCGCAGAUCAGCAACGCUGCGGUGAAUACGUUCCCGGGUCUUGUACACACCGCCCGUCAAGUCAUGAAAGUCGGUAACACCUGAAGCCGGUGGCCCAACCCUUGUGGAGGGAGCCGUCGAAGGUGGGA
Molecule: ribosomal RNA, 659 nt
Filed under: uncultured Microbacterium sp.
Lineage: Bacteria; Bacillati; Actinomycetota; Actinomycetes; Micrococcales; Microbacteriaceae
Description: bacterial SSU rRNA
Rfam family: Bacterial small subunit ribosomal RNA
Source: RNAcentral